AAUCAACGCUGGCAGCGUGCCUAACACAUGCAAGUCGAACGCGAAAGUCCCGCAAGGGAUGAGUAGAGUGGCAAACGGGUGAGUAACACGUGGGUGACCUGCCUUCGAGUGGGGGAUAACGUCCCGAAAGGGACGCUAAUACCGCAUAACAUCCUGCCUUUGAACAGGUGGCGAUCAAAGCUGGGGACCCGCAAGGGCCUGGCGCUGGAAGAGGGGCCCGCGUCUGAUUAGCUAGUUGGUGGGGUAAUGGCUCACCAAGGCAACGAUCAGUAUCCGGCCUGAGAGGGCGGACGGACACACUGGGACUGAGACACGGCCCAGACUCCUACGGGAGGCAGCAGUGGGGAAUUGUUCGCAAUGGGCGCAAGCCUGACGACGCAACGCCGCGUGGAGGAUGAAGACCU
Molecule: ribosomal RNA, 404 nt
Filed under: uncultured bacterium
Lineage: Bacteria
Description: bacterial SSU rRNA
Rfam family: Bacterial small subunit ribosomal RNA
Source: RNAcentral